CACCUCCGGCCAGAAACUGAUUCUUUUAUCAUGGCAAUUUUUUUUGCACACAUGCCCAGGUCCUGAGGAUGAAAAUCCGGAGUACCUAGAUGACUCCUCCCCGUCGGAAGACGAAGGAGACCACGAUGCGGAAGUCACCCUUCCAGCCCACCACCGCCCCGGCGACAACCGGCGACAGAUCCAACCACCCCACCUCCCCAACGCCCGCCCUCCGCGCCCCAGACCCGCCUACUCCCAGAUCUCCGUCGACAGCUCGAUGCCCGUCCUGCCGACCCCGUACCGGGAGCCGACGGUCCCAGCCCGCAAGGAGGAGGUGCGGGACCGGGCCAGCUGGAUGCCGAGGCCGCCUCCUUCGUCGACGAAGCGGAGACAAAGGGUCAAGGCCAAGACCCAGGUCAAGGGGAAGGAAACGGGGGGUGGGGAGUUCGUGGAGUACGCGGUGGAUCCGGUGGAGUCCAUGGGUGGACCUGCUGCCAAAAAGAGGGUGGAGCUACGAUCGGGGGCUGCGACGAGAUCUAGUCCGCAGGUGCUGGUCGGGGAGCAUCAGGCCUCAGCUUCGCAAUCCAUGGAGCUUGCCAAUUUUCCUGACGGUGGGACACCUCGGAGGCGGACCUUGGAGACAGAUGUGACGUCAGAGAACGGUUGGAUAGACAGCGAUUUCCUGGAGGGGCCGCGAGGCCCGAGAGGAAAGUUCAACUGCAGCCAACUGAGGGAGGCCCCAAUGAAUUGGACCCCGGAGCAACUCCGAGAGUGGCAGAGCAGAUCCAGAGACUCACUCGCAUUGAUCUCGCGGUGUGGCGGCAGAGUUAUCGGGAGUCGAACAAAGGACGGGGUGCUGCGUUACCGGCUCACGUUGACGGAGUUACCGGUGCCGCCGGAGAAACCGAGGGUCCCCGCGGAAUUGGUUGACACCCGCACGGUUUUCGGCCAAGAAACGCCCGAUGACUCCCGCUUCGUCGACGAACUUAUCGAGGUCCAGCAGGCCUAUCGCCGUCUCCACCAGGCUGUUGAGUUUGACGUCAAAUCUAAGUUGCGGAACUUAGCUCGGAAAAAGGCUGAAACGCAGUCGUCGGAUACGUGGUUGUGCACCUAUGAGGGUCACGGCUGCAAUGCUUUUGCCUAUUCCAGUACCCGACUGCCCAUCUCACCCACCGAAGUGGCCGCGACCUGGUACGCUGAGAGCGAGGGUUACAACUACACUAUUGAGCCGGAUCUUCAAAGGCAUCCUUAUGUUGGUCUUUUCACGCAAAUGGUCUGGGUGUCGAGCCAGGCGAUAGGUUGCGGACGGCAUGAGCGAGAAGAUGAGGAGCAGUUUGUUGUGAUUUGUUUGUACACCCCACUGGAAACGAGCCUGGGAAAUUUUUGGAGAAUGUUCUUCCGAUUCCUCUCAGCGCAACACAUCCCGACUUAGAGGAAAAUAACAAGCUAGAGUUGAUGGACACGAAUGCGAGCGCUUCUUUGGAAGCAAGUCUUGUCUCUUUGCUUUUCUUCCUUGCAUGGUCACGAUGUUAGCUGAAAAGCUAGAGAUGAAAAUGUUUAGUACCUCGAAGGAGCGCCAUCAACUGAUGGAACGAAAGGAAGAUCACCAAACUGGGGGAGUGAUAAUGAAGUUUGCUCGUCAAUUUUGGUCGAGGGUUGGAAUCAAAAAUAUUCACAGCAUUUCAAAAUUUGAGAUAUAAAUAAAAUUAUAGGUUAAGUGAAUAGAAAGAAUCGAAAACCAAGCUAAAAUUGAAAUUCUUAAUGGGAGGGAUCAUACAACAUAAAAACGCAAUAAAUACUAAAUAAAUGCAUAGUUUUUAUUGGAGUGAAGAGAAAAAAUGUCUGGGUUUCAUCUUUGUUGUAACCAAACAUCCGAGAACCUAUUAUAAUUCUAAACGGUAGAGGUAAAGUCAACCCCGGCUAGAUUAAAUGACGACAAAAUUAAAAUAUGCAUGUAAAAAUUGUAACACUUGCUUGACCGACUGUAGAAGCUUUUGGCCCAUUUGAUAUUCAAAACACCAAUAAUUCUUUGGAAAUAAAUAAUUAUCCUAUUCAGAGUUAUAUUUCUCAUCAAUUAGGGAAGUUACGCGUCGAUUUUCCUUACCAUGUUGUAUGUAGACCUUGCUAAUGGAGUCAUGAUCUGCAGGCUUGAAAGGAAAUAAAGAUAGCAUUGAAAUAUUCGAAUGUGGCUGCAUGUUGAAAUUAGGUACACACAUCCACAUAGAAGUUUUGUGGAGGAAUGAGAGUGGAGUGGAGACAAAAUUCCUUAUUGUCGGUAAUUAAAAAAAAAAAAAGGUCAGUGAUGAAUAUUGUUUUCCUUCAAUGCUUUUCCUUUUUCUUUAUUUUUUUCUCUCUCGCAUGUGCAUGAACAUAGUGUUUUGACUAUUCUCUUUUCAUUAUUGGAUUUGCAGAUAAUCCGAAAAUAUAUUUUUCUACAUUCUUAGAUAUAUACGAAACUUGUACCACUGACAAGCAUGCAGCAUGAUUUUAAGAUUUUCGCGAUAACUCAUAGCCUCAAGUGCUGAAUUUAAGCACGUUUAUUUUGAUCUGUUAGUAUGCCUAAUCCUGAAUGGUAUGACUCAUGGGCUCUCUCCACACCCACCGAACAUUUCAGCCGUCGCAAUUGAUACUCAAGUGCAAUCACCUAUGUCCUCAAGUGCUAUUUCUACAUAAUCCAACCAUACCACUGCUCAUGGAGAUGAGUGAAAUUUUCGCGGAAAAUAGCAUUCCACUUUGACUCAUUCUGAGAACAUUGACACUAUUCGAAACAACUCGAGACCUGAAACUACCAGCAGUAAGUAAUACGCCCCACUAAAACUUGCAUCUUACAUUCAUCGCAAGAUAUGCACAUUUCAUAGAAUGCAAAUAAUUAUCUCGGACACAUUUGCAAAGGCCCAAAAUUAACAUGGAUGACUUAAGUAAAGAUGAAUUAAACUCAGAGAGGUCUCUCGAAAAUCUUCGAGUUCUCUUCAUGGUUCCUCGGGCCGGAUCCUCAAUCUAAGCAAAUGAAGUGUUGAACUCAUCCUCUUAGUAGUGAUUUUUAUAUCACCAAGAAAAUUUAGAGCAAAAAAAUUGCUCAAAGUGCUUUUUUUUUAAAUUUAAGUGCCUAUUUGCAUUAAAUAUUCCAUCGUAACAUGCACAUUUUGAGUAUCGUGACUUACGGUAGUGAGGUCUGGCAACUCAAGAAAAGAACUGAAGACAUGCUUAGGGCAACUGAGAUGGACUUUUGGCGAAGGUCUGCUGGGAUAUCGAGAAGAGAGCGUAUCCGCAAUGAAAAGGUACGCGAGAUAAUGGGUGUGGAGAAGGACAUCGUGCACGAUAUCAGGUCCAAGCAGUUGGUUUGGUAUGGACAUGUGCGAAGGAUGGCAGACGAUCGGUUGCCCAAGCAGGUCUUCGAUUGGGUUCCUCCCGGAAGGCGACGGCGUGGACGUCCUGUGAAAGGUUGGCGACAAGGGGUGGAGGAGGAGAUCAGAAGGUGCCAAUUGCCUGAUGACCUCUGGGAGGAUAGGGGGCAAUGGCGAUUGGGCGUCGCAGAGCGCGAGGCGGCGCUGUAAAAGCGGCUUUAUGUAUGUACAUGCACAUUUUGACACAGAAAAAGUGACAGUAAUUAUUUUCCAAUAAUAAUAAUUA
RNAcentral lists this long non-coding RNA (3609 nucleotides) under Bemisia tabaci. RNAcentral's name for it is "lncRNA ENSASIAIIG003542". Lineage: Eukaryota; Metazoa; Arthropoda; Insecta; Hemiptera; Aleyrodidae. The record is from RNAcentral.